This 448-nucleotide ribosomal RNA is filed under the name uncultured prokaryote. Its description in RNAcentral is "bacterial SSU rRNA". It matches the Rfam family "Bacterial small subunit ribosomal RNA", at positions 355 to 796 of the family's 1533-position model. The record is from RNAcentral.
UCGGGGAUCUUGCACAAUGGGCGAAAGCCUGAUGCAGCAACGCCGUGUGAGCGAGGAAGGCCUUAGGGUCGUAAAGCUCUGUUGUUGGGGACGAAGGGCGAAGGGUUAAUAGCCCCUAGCCUGACGGUACCCUUCGAGGAAGCCCCGGCUAACUACGUGCCAGCAGCCGCGGUAAUACGUAGGGGGCGAGCGUUGUCCGGAAUUAUUGGGCGUAAAGAGCGUGUAGGCGGCCUGGUAAGUCUGCCGUGUAAACCCGGGGCUCAACCCUGGGCGUGCGGUGGAUACUGCUAGGCUAGAGGAUGGUAGAGGCGAGUGGAAUUCCCGGUGUAGCGGUGAAAUGCGCAGAUAUCGGGAGGAACACCAGUAGCGAAAGCGCUCUACUGGGCCGGUACUGACACUCAGGGACGAAAGCUAGGGGAGCGAAAGGGAUUAGAUACCCCCGUAGUCC